RNAcentral lists this ribosomal RNA (461 nucleotides) under uncultured bacterium. RNAcentral's name for it is "bacterial SSU rRNA". It matches the Rfam family "Bacterial small subunit ribosomal RNA", at positions 917 to 1382 of the family's 1533-position model. The record is from RNAcentral.
GGGCCCGCACAAGCAGUGGAGUAUGUGGUUUAAUUCGAAGCAACGCGAAGAACCUUACCAGGUCUUGACAUCCACCGAAUCCUUAAGAGAUUGGGGAGUGCCCUUCGGGGAACGGUGAGACAGGUGGUGCAUGGUUGUCGUCAGCUCGUGUCGUGAGAUGUUGGGUUAAGUCCCGCAACGAGCGCAACCCUUGUUGAUAGUUGCUACGCGAGAGCACUCUAUCGAGACUGCCGUUGACAAAACGGAGGAAGGUGGGGAUGACGUCAAAUCAUCAUGCCCCUUAUGACCUGGGCUACACACGUACUACAAUGGCCGCGAACAGAGGGAAGCGACAUCGCGAGGUGAAGCGAACCCCAAAAAACGGUCUCAGUUCAGAUUGCAGGCUGCAACCCGCCUGCAUGAAGAUGGAAUUGCUAGUAAUCGCGGAUCAGCAUGCCGCGGUGAAUACGUUCCCGGGCCUU